UGGGGAAUAUUGGACAAUGGGCGAAAGCCUGAUCCAGCGACGCCGCGUGGAUGAUGAAGGCCUUCGGGUUGUAAAGUCCUUUCGGUAGGGAAGAUAAUGACGGUACCUACAAAAGAAGCUCCGGCUAACUUCGUG
This 135-nucleotide ribosomal RNA is filed under the name uncultured bacterium. Its description in RNAcentral is "partial 16S ribosomal RNA". It matches the Rfam family "Bacterial small subunit ribosomal RNA", at positions 355 to 507 of the family's 1533-position model. The record is from RNAcentral.